Vicia faba (fava bean) is the source of this 508-nucleotide non-coding RNA. NCBI's taxonomy places the organism in Eukaryota, Viridiplantae, Streptophyta, Magnoliopsida, Fabales, Fabaceae. The record is from the annotation of a GenBank genome assembly.
UUGUCAUGAUACAUUAAUUUUAUCAAACUGCAAAUGGUUGUUAUUAUAUAAAUUCAUACAGCUCGCAUGUAUAUUUUUCAAUAAUAUGAGGUAUUAUUCAGACAAGGCUAAAAAAAACAAAUUACACCUCUCAUUAGACAUUAUCUUUACUAGAUAUUGCAAUUUUGCAAGAGCAAGAAAUUUUGAAACAACUAAUUUUCCUGGGCUAUUCUAUAUCAAUUAUCAACUAUUACUAAGUGCCAUGGCUGGAGAAUUUAUGACCCGUGUAGUUGAAGACGAAUUUGUAAACGCAUUCGCUUAUGAAAUUUACACUGUAGCUCCUUUCAACCAGAGAGCCUGCAACCUACUAAGAAUUUACAUUUCUCACCCUCAACCCCCACACAAGGUACAUAUAGGGAAAAAAUGGAAAAUGAAACCAAAAUGGCAAAAAAAAUUACAAAAUCACAAUCACUCCCUAUUCUCUCCUACUAUGCCAGUCCACAGCUUUCCUUCAAUGCUUUUAUAUUAG